Molecule: long non-coding RNA, 1143 nt
Organism: Saccostrea echinata
Lineage: Eukaryota; Metazoa; Mollusca; Bivalvia; Ostreida; Ostreidae
Exons: 3
Source: RefSeq, a predicted model, not a curated record
AGAGAGCUAUUGUACACAAAACUGAAAGGGGCUUGGUAGUGAAAUAUUUACCUGUUUAAAAAAGUGAUAAAAUAUUCAGAAUUAUUGUGAUGGUUCACGGCACGACUGACACCUGACUGAUUUGUGUGGCCUGCGUGUAAUGCAUAUAUCUCAUAUGAAAUCAAAACCUUAUAGAUUUCAGUGCAUCAGAUGACUAAUAAUCCAUGAAAAUAAAUUACAGGAAGGAUAAGUUAUUCAGUCAUCUUUUUUUUUUCUAUGAUGCACAUUCACGCUAUAUAAUGACACUGCUAUGAGGAGAUAUUUAAGGCACCUACUUGACAACAUGUGAUCACCAUCGUUGCCACAUGUUGUUGUACAUACUUCAAAGACAACAGACAACAGACUGAUACCAAGAAACCUGAGGAAGAGAUGAGCUGAAACAUAAACUUAAUCUUUAUGUUCUAAGGAAAGCAUCCAAAAAAACAUGGGAGUUUUAAAUGACUCAAAGGGAAGAUCUAGCCAUCAGCUGGAUUUUAAUUCAGUCAACAAUGGACGUGUUUUAUGACAUUCAGUUUGAUUUCUAUUAAGUAUUGGGAAAGACGAAUGACAUAACCGAAACAGAAACUUCAAGAUGACUCCGUCAUGACACACAGUCAUGUCGGAGUUAUCCUCCUUUACAACCAACUGUAAUGGAUCCAAGGACACCACCGUUACAUUCAUAAAGCAAUGAUUGCUAAAGAUCGACUUUGUCAAUGUUACAAAGAAGGAAACCAAUGCCAUAAAUUCCUAUGAAGAAAUUAUGUCUGACUGAGGAUUACCAAGCAAUUUUGUGCAGUGGUGUGAAGAAUAUCAGUAAAAGUCCAUUAUCUGGGCAAGGUUGGGAAUCAGGAGUAGUGGCCCGUCGUCCAAUUCUUGUUCGUUUUGUUUAAAUUAAUUUUAGUGUCCCAUCCAGAAUUUUUCAACUCUCUAAAGUUACUACCAACAAUUUUCAAUGGACACAGAAGAAGACAUAACAGUGGAUCUUAUGGGGCAACAGUGAUUCAAUCUGAUGGCCUAAUUACGUUUGCUUCCGCUCGGAAGUAAUUACUUCAGACACUGAACAAUUAUUGACGGAUUAGCCAGAUAUUGUCAAGCAUUCACUGAUGUAACAUACAAACCUCUCCG